CAAUAGCGUAUAUUAAAGUUGUUGCAGUUAAAAAGCUCGUAGUUGGAUUUCUGGUGGGAGCGAUCGGUCUGGCGCUUAGCGCGAGUACUUGCAUCGUCUCCGGCCAUCCUUGGGGAGAGUCUGUCUGGCAUUAAGUUGUCGGGCAGAGGAUCCUCAUCGUUUACUGUGAAAAAAUUAGAGUGUUCAAAGCAGGCUUAUGCCGUUGAAUAUAUUAGCAUGGAAUAAUAAGAUAGGACUUUGGUACUAUUUUGUUGGUUUGCGCACCAAAGUAAUGAUUAAUAGGGACAGUUGGGGGUAUUCGUAUUCCGUUGUCAGAGGUAAAAUUCUUGGAUUUACGGAAGACGAACUACUGCGAAAGCAUUUACCAAGGAUGUUUUCAUUAA
This 383-nucleotide ribosomal RNA is filed under the name uncultured eukaryote. RNAcentral's name for it is "partial 18S ribosomal RNA". It matches the Rfam family "Eukaryotic small subunit ribosomal RNA", at positions 592 to 976 of the family's 1831-position model. The record is from RNAcentral.